This 608-nucleotide long non-coding RNA is filed under the name Camelus dromedarius (Arabian camel). RNAcentral describes it as "lncRNA (ENSCDRG00005020684.1)". The record is from RNAcentral. Lineage: Eukaryota; Metazoa; Chordata; Mammalia; Artiodactyla; Camelidae.
CGGCGGGGAGGGGUGGACCAGCAGCACUCACAGCCGGACGGAGGAGCGGACGCCAGCCGCGCCGGCCAGAGCGAGCGCCCCGUGGCCGGGGGCGCCGUCCAGGCGCGCGCCCCGGACCCGUGGCUGGACGGGGGCGAUUGGCGCCCCGGACCGACGCGCCCCUCAGCAUGGAGCGCCCCCGGGGUCUGCCCUGAGGCGGCGGCGGCGGCGAUGCAGCCAGCGCAGCAGCUGCUUGGGCCAGGAACGGCCGCCCGGAGCUCGGAGGACGUGGAGCGCACCGCGCCCGGGGCGCUGACCGAGAUCGUGCACAGGAUCCAAGACUCGGUGGCUCCUGGUGUACUCAUUCCACAGUGCCUCUUAAUAGCAAGUGGACUCCUCCAAGGGCGAUGAGCAUCACAACUUUGGUUGACCUUGGUCUAGGUAAGCCUUGUCUUCCAUAGCAAGGUUUGAUGUCUGUCUUAUCAGCUUCUUUGCUGUGGUAUUGAUAUGGUUGUUUUGAAAAUAAUGGACUUUCCAGUAAUUUCUAUGAUGGUAAAUACUACUCACAGUUGCCACUUUAUACAAAAUACUGUAGGGUGUUUUACCCCAAACAGGGGUAGUCUCCUGAG